This 194-nucleotide ribosomal RNA is filed under the name uncultured bacterium. Its description in RNAcentral is "partial 16S ribosomal RNA". It matches the Rfam family "Bacterial small subunit ribosomal RNA", at positions 338 to 524 of the family's 1533-position model. The record is from RNAcentral.
UUUACGGGAGGCAGCAGUGGGGAAUAUUGCACAAUGGGCGCAAGCCUGAUGCAGCCAUGCCGCGUGUGUGAAGAAGGCCUUCGGGUUGUAAAGCACUUUCAGUCAGGAGGAAAGGUUAGUAGUUAAUACCUGCUAGCUGUGACGUUACUGACAGAAGAAGCACCGGCUAACUCCGUGCCAGCAGCCGCGGUAAU